AACAAGAGCACGCUUUGAGCCACUAACACAAAAUCCAAUUAACCGUACCACAUUUUGAUGAUGUAUUCUUCCAAUGGUUGCAACUUCAUUGAUAAAAUCUUGUCCAUUUCCUUUGGAUUUGCCUAACAUUUUGAUGGCCACAAAAGGUCCACUAAGUAACUUUGCCUUAAAGACAGAGCCAAAUCCUCCUUCACCUAACUUCUCUUUGAAACCUGCCGCCAUCUUCUUAAUUUCCUUGUAUGAGUAUCUAAUAGGUGCCAAGCUAUUUUGUUCAAGAUAAUUUUCAAUAUUUUCAUACAGUGACAUAUGUCUUUUUCUCCAUUUAUAUAUAAAAAUAACAAUUAUGAAUGGCAAUCCAAACAAAACUUUGUAAGCCCAUCCUAUAGAGAUACAUAUGAGAAUACCUGCAAUAAAUUUUUACUUGAGUGAUUACGCUAGUAAUGUAAUGCACUAAAGUAUUUUGUAAAUUUAGAGACCAAAUUUAGAAACUAAAUAAUUGGUAGUUAAAACAUUGGUUGUUAAUUAGAUACCAAUUUAGAAACUAUUUAACAAUAAUAGAAACUAAUUUAGAAACCAAUUUUGUUUUUAGUUUCUAAAAUGGUUUCUAAUUUAAUUACUAUUCCAACUAAUUAUUUUGGUCUAUAAAAAUUGGUUUCUAUUUCAUGAUUUUCUUGUAAUGUGCUGUCUACAACAAAAUAUUUUACUUGAGUGAAUAAACAUCAAUGUAAAGAGUCAUUCGAUUGCACCGUUAAUGUAAAAUGCAAUAAGCUAUAUAUUAUUUGAUUAAAGAAAAACAUCAAUUUGAUUCCAAAUUUAUAUGUACGCAUCCAUUUAGAUAGCAAUUUUUUUUUAAAAAAAGGUAAAUUUUAGUUUCUGAAAUAAAUAUCAUUGGAUUUGGUCGUGGGAUUUAAUGUGAAUCUAAGAACAAAUUGACUAAAGCUUGUCAAAAUUAAAAACUAUUUUUUUUAAUAAUUUUGUGUCAUGUGGGUUAAAACCAACAAUUAUGCAAACUUUACAGGGACUACUUUAUUGUUAUAUAUUAUUUAAAUUCUCUAUACUAUGCUUCACAUAUUACGAAAUCAUUUGUUAAAAUUAUACACCUAAAUAUAAUUAAUCUAUAUUGAAUACAUUUCACAAAGUUGUAUUUUCGUUAAUAAAUUAAUAUUAACAAUCUCACGUAUGUAGUGAUGUUUUAUUAUAUAAUUAAUUAAUUUAAAACUACAUAUAUUUACAGAAAAAAUAAAUUAUGUACAACCAAGUAUGCUAUGAAUAAGAAGUUCAUAAUGUACCAAAACCAAUUCUUACUACUAUUAUGCUAUAUCAAGUUAUUUACUAUUCCUAUAAGAAUUGUUAUUGAAACAAUGUGGUAUCAAAUAUAUAAAACAAUAGUUUGUAUCAAGAUAGUGAAUUUUUAAACUACUCAAUCUCACAUAAUUUGUUUGAUAAUACGAGGUUUUUCAACACUUAUAUAUUAUGAUUUGAUCUUAUUUUUAAUCAAUGAAGAUCUUCAACACACCUCCUUCUGAGGACACGUUCGAAUCAAAGACAUCAAGCGUGAAAAUCGAGGGGAACCCAAUAACAAGUGGCACGAUAAGUUAAAUCUUGAUUGAUAUAAAUUCUUAAUAUUAAUACCUUAUUAGGAUAAUAAGUUUAAGUCUAACUCAACCUCACAAAAUUGACUCAGUAAAAUGUGGUUUGCCUCCACUUAUAUACUAUAAUUUAAUCGUAUUCUUCAGUUGAUGUGAAAUCUCCAACAUAUACUAUAAUUUAAUCGUAUUCUUCAGUUGAUGUGAAAUCUCCAACGGUUUAGUUAUAAUUUAUGGUCAAAUGUCCAAAACAAUUAUCAUCAUUGAAAAUAAUAAAUGAUGAUGGCUAAUAUAUGCACAUUGUGUCGACGCAAAUCGUGUCAUUUUGCAGUGUGUUUCUAAUGUUUUAUUCUUCUCCAUUGUGUUGAUCCCAUCAUAGCCACUCCUUCGCAUUUGUGCUAGUAAGAAAAUUUUAUUUUUACGUCAAUUACAUUAACCUUAUAUAAAUACCUCUUGCACUCUUCCCCACCUUUAGAAUAUUUUCUACAUAUUAUACUCUUCCAACCUUCAGAAGUCUUUCUAUGCUUUCUACAUCCUUUUGUUUUAAUUGUUGAUAGUUUUCAUACUUAACUCGUUGAAAGCUCCUCAUUCUCAUCAGAAUUUAAUUCAUUUUUAUUUAAGAGGGUUCCUUGCAUGAUGAUAGGAUGAUGUUCAAAUCAUUAAAGUUGAGGGUAUCCUUUCUCAAGUUUUUGCACUCAGUGAUGCAAAUUAAGUGUCUUAGAUACUUUGAUGUUUUAUUUUAUCUAAGUGUGUUUAGUGAUUUAUAUACUCUUUAACAAUAUUUUUGGACUUUAAUUUUGUAAUUACAUAAAUUAUAUAUUGAUUCAAAGGAUGUCAACUAUAUCUUAUAAGUAAGAUAAUUUGUAAAUAAUUUUGUUUAUGAAUUAUUUGUUUGCCAUUAAAUUGAAUGCAGGUUAAAUGUAUUAUCAAAACUAGGGGUGCCAACAAGGUGGAGUGGGUGCAAGUUUUACUACACUCAUCUAUAUUUCCAAAGUAAAAAUGUAUUCCCCUCCUCCUGUUAUUCUCAUAUGUCUUCAUAUGGUAUAAAAUUUGAGUUUCAUUCUCAUCGAGUAGUAGAUGUAGAUGCACCUGUAUUCAUGCCCAUACUUGUUCUCGCACUAUUGUUAAGUGUUAUAAUUCAGUAAUGUUUCAUACAAAAAGAUAGACACUUAUGGACUUUAUUUCUUAAUAGCAUUAUAAUUCAACCUAUAAUUUUAACAUUUUUACCUAGUUUUGGAUUAUGAGAUUUAUAAGAAUGAUUUAUUCCCAAGUUUGUACCAAUUUCAGGAAUAUAGGGAAGAUGAAGAUAAAAGCGCUAAAGGAGAAUGAACAAAUUACAUACAAGAUGAAAAGACAAAGUUAGAGCAUUGAAAACACACCCAAGAACUCACCCAAACUCGCCCCAGCAAGAUCACUCCAGAGGCAAACUUGUUCAUUGGAGCAAACUUGCCCAAGGCUCGCUUUAGCAAGUUCACUCUAGUGAAGUUGGGCUUUUUCUCAUGAAACCUGCUUAAGCAAGCAAUGUCUUGCUUGAGCAAGAUGUCACUUAACCUACAUCAAAUUAGGUUAAAUAGAAGGCGUAAGGAAGAACCCUAGGAUCAUAGGGAGGAUAAUCAGAGAGAGAAAAUCCUAGCCGUCAAGGAGAAACAUUAUGGAUCUUCUUUUCCUACUUUCCAUGCUUAUAAUGGUUAGUGGCUAAGUCUUCCCUUUGGAAUUGGGAGGAAUCUGUUCAAACUUUUAUGUAUUGAGGUGAUAUUUAUUUAUAAUAUUUUUUUCUUUAUUGAUGAUUGGUAUUGUCAUUUUAUUCUUAAAGUUUGAAUCUUUAUUAAUGAUUUUGAUCCUUAGAUUUGACUGAAAAGUACUUCUAAGCAUCUGACUUAAAUGAUAAUACUUAACAUAUUUGAAUGGUAGGAAUAUAUUUGAAAUUUUAAUUGCUUUUGUUUUUAUAAAUAUACGAGAAAUCGAUAUUUAUGACACAAUCUUAAUAAUUUUGUAUGCAAGGAAUUGAUAUGAAUGAUUUUUAUAUGUGUAUCAAUGUCAAUAAAAAUAUGGAAUGUUAUAUGUUUUUAUUCAUUAAAAAUAUAGACGAGUGAAAAGCAUUAACCUCAAUCCCAAUUGAAUCAUACAAAUCAUUUACUUUAUUUUUAUUCAAUUUCUUACAAAUUCAUGAUACAAACAACCUUUCAAACAAACUUUGACACAUCUUUUCAUAUUGAGUGCAUAUUAUACUUGAGAUUUUAGAAUUGUUUCCUAUAGGUUCAAUAGUCAUUAUUAAGAACAAACUAUUCCUUUUGACUCGAUACACUUGUCGAAUUAAAUAGUCAUCAAUUAUCCCAAAUAUUGAAUAAAUAAUUUUUUUAAAAAGUAAAAAUCACAAUAUAAAAAAUGUUAUCAAAUAACAAUUACUCAUAAUAGAAAUUUCUUAACGACUAUAAUCUAUUGUUUUGCAAAAAUUGAGAGGGAAAAUACCUCGAAGAUUUGAGUCUACUUGUGGGAUAUUUGACAUGGUGAACCGUUGAAAGAGAAAAUGAAAUCUUGUGUAGAAGAAAAAGUUCUUCAAAUAAACGAAAUUAAGAAACAAGAAAAAAAAAAGACAAUUUUUUUUAGGUUACUUAAUAGGGUUUACAGAAUUUAAUUCGAAAAAAUUGAGGUUUACAUUUCUUAAAAUGUAAUUCAUCAUUUGAAGAAAAUCAAAUGAAGAAAAUUGUGUAAUUGAGAUUAUUGUAUAGUAAAAGAAUAAUUUUUUUAAAUGGAAUGAAUCAAAUGACCGACGAGAACAAUAAAAAUAAGUUUGAAUAGGUUGUUUAAUAAAUUAAAUAUAUUUCAGUAAUUUAAAAUAAAAACGGAUACAAGAAUAAAUAGGAAAUCGUAUACAAUACUCAUCUACAUCUCUAUAUCCAAUUUAAAAUAUUAAAUGUUACUCAUAAUUGUGCCAAUCAAUUCGAAAUUAAAAUUUAUCUUUGUCAUCCCUAAACAAAACAAAUAUUAAAAAAAAAAUUUAUACAUUCAACAAUAUAUUUUAGUAUAAUUGUUCUCAUAUAUUAGUUUCACCAACAGUUCAUAUUAUAACCAAUCAUUGAAAGGGUUGAAAAUUUUAAAACUCAAAUAGAAUUAAAAAAUUACAGUUUAAUCAUAAAUAAUAAAUAGUAAAUUCUAAAUCUUAAAUCAUAAACUAUUGUACCUUGAACCGUAGCCAAUUCUUCUAUUUUUAACAACAUUUCUGUCAAUGAAAAUUUGAGAACUACUAAUAGAAGUCUAUUUUUUGUGUAAUUAAAGAAUUUAGAAAUUAAGUUGAUAAAAUCGUACCUCGUAUAUAGAGUUUUAGCACUUCAUGCAGUGUUAGAUUAAAUGAGCCUGAAAUGAAGGAAAUUAUGAAGUUUAGAAUAGUGGUGAUCUCAACAGUUAUUCAAAAGAGACUAUUUUCAUAUUUUGAUAAAGGUUAUAGCGGUCAAUAAGUUUAACAGUUAUUUAUUUUAAAGAAAAUAAAUGUUUAAUUUAAUGUAUACGUUCUUAUAAAUACAUGUAAAAUAUAAAAGAUAAAAGAAAAUUGGUUUACUAAUUGUUUACCACCUUUUCAGUUAAUUUAAAUGUAUAUUUAGAAGAUAUAUAUGUUUGAAACUGUUAUGAAAAAAUCUAAAAAAUUGGUUAAUAUUGGUUUAGGAUUACUCACCUUUGAUGCAUUGAAGCUUCUGGUUAGAAGAGUCGACAUAGCAAUAGCUAUCAUCAUCUGGACAAUGUUUCUGACAGGCGACUUGUAUCCAUGAAAUCUCGAAUCCAUAGGCGAGUGCGGUGUGCAUGGAAGUGUAAGAAUGGUUAUCGAAAGUGGAAAGAGAAGUGGGAGCAACAAGCUUUACCUCACACCCAACUUCUAAGUCCUCUGCUUUUAGGUCUCCACCAAUUGAAUAUGCAUACCCCUUCCCCUCCCACUUCACCCACUCUCCAAUCUCCACAUACUUCUCUUUCUCUCUCACCGAAUGGUUACAAUUCACGAACACUAUAUGCUCGAACGUCAGAGAUUCCCCAUUUUCAUAGACAAAACUGGCUUGGUAUGGACCCGGGUCGUAAAAUGAAGUGUAAGUGUAAGUGUCAGAGAAAUUGGAGCGAGAGAGGAAACGGAGAGGAAGGGAGGAGAGAUUAUGGUGUUGAAGAGCAGGAUCAACCACUCUCACCGUGUAGUUGUUGUAGUUGAUUGACUUCACAUGAUAUUGUGCAGAGUACAGAUACAACACCGUAACAUUAUUCUCACAACCAAGCUCAUACCUUUUGUCACCACACUCUUCUGGGUCGCCUUUUAAUCGAAAUGGAUAGCUGAUGUUGGUGAUAUUUCCACAGGAAGAAGGAGGACAAACGUGUUCUUGGUCAUCCUUGGUAGCAGAAAUAUGGUGGAGUAGAAGUAGCAGUACCACCAACACUGCGCUCUCUCUCCACAUCAUGACUAAACUGUUUCUCACUGAAUUCAAGUGCAAACAAAUCCAAGUUAGAUAUCUAAAACAACGCACACUGAAUAUAUAGCUAUAAAGGACCACAUUUUUCCUUUUAGAAAAGUGUUUGGAGACGUGUGAUACUUAAAACGUAGACUUUGACUCAGAAACCGUGUUUCUAUCUGGUUUCAUAUAUAAGUGCAUGAAUUCUGAUUUAUGUAUUAAUGGUGUUCUUUGAGUUUCUAAAACCAUCCUAAAUUGUUCCUUUUGGAAGCUUAUAUUUCGAAAUAUAAUUUUAAUGACUAUAGAAUUUCUGAGUCCCAAAUAAUGCUUGUUUGGUUAAGAAACUUUAACAUGUGAUUGGUACAUAUUGUUUUGGUGACUUUUUGCCCCAAAGAGGGCCUCAUCUGUUUCCUUGUGCUACAUGAACAUAUUCUUCUUGGACAUGGGAGCAGAAAAGAGUUACGGUGGGCACGAAGUCUGGUAGCAGAAAAAACCACUAACAAUGCCUGACGUUUUCUGUAUGCGUAAAAGGUGAAGGACAGAAAAAUAUGUGGAAGCAAUUCCACACACGUAACCCAAAAUUCCACCAUACUUUUCAACUCGUGCCUUGAAAAGCUCAAUAAUUAAAAGUGCGCUUCGAAGAAUCAACGAAGUCACUCACCAUUAACUAGUUGGUAUUAGUAGAUCAUACUAUGUAAACUCACCAAAGUACUUGAUCACUCAUCAUCAAGGUUCAUUGAUAAAGGUGUAUCCAAGCCAUCAGAACGUGUAUAUAAACUUUACAAGUCUAAAUAAAACAUGUCCAAAAAGAAUCAUUGACAACCGAAUAAAUGGUGUAUUGGGGUACUAUAUGUUCAGAAAGAAUAAAUAAAUGUGAAUCACCUUUAAACAAAUCAAAAAAGAAAAAAUACUUAAUCUCCCCCUAACUGUAACCUCCUACCGACAGUUUUGCAAAACACUUGCAAAUGCCCAAAAAACAACUAAGGAAAACUAACCAACAAUCUAACACAUCAUUUAACUAGCCUCAUACAAACCAAAGAAUUAAGACACUAGUCAAAAUAAGAAAAAACACUCGAUGUUGUCUUGAAAGUAAUCAAAGACCAAACCUUUAACUGAACAAGAGUGAACAAUUCUAACACAUCAACCACAUCACCUUUAAAAAUGACAUUAUUCAUGUGUUUCCAAAUCUCACUUACUACACCAAUCCAAAAUUGCCCCCAAACUUCAUUCACAGAUUCAGAUGCACUACUCAUCAAAAAUUGCAAAAAAUGACAGAAUCAACCAUUGUGUACCACGAACGCUACGCCAAGCCAAGCAAAACACUGAUUCCAAACGAGCCAAGCUAUUCUACACUCAAAAAAUAGAUGAUGACAAGACUCCUCUUCCACCCAGCACAGACUACACAAAAGACUUUCGACCACAACCCCACGCCUUUCCAAAUUGACCCUAGUAGCAAUCUUAUUUAACAACACCCCCAAGAAGUGACAUGUGCUAACGGUAAAGCUUGCAUGGGUUUUAUCCAUUUGGCCUUUAGAACAAACAAAUCUCUUCUAUUUGAACAUCAUUUAUUCCUACACAGGAGUGGCAACAUAUCAAGAGGAUUUAGAAGUGAGUUCCGAUAAUGGAAAAUUAUUCCUAGCUUAUCUAAAGCGUCACCAGUCAUGGCCAAUCAAUUUUCUGUGAGUCUUCCUAUUUUUCCACUUAUUAUUGAUGUGCUAUAUUCUUUUCUAAUUAUAUGGCUUAAAUGUGUGGAUUUAUUUCCUUGACUGUCACUGAUGUGCUCAGCAUGUACUUUUUUUUAAAUGAAUUAUUUUAAAUUAUAUUGCGCACCCUUAAUAGAGUAAGGAUAAUAGGUGGAAUGUAUAUUAAAAUAUAAAUACAAGAUUUUUGCAGUGGAAUGGUUUGUGGCUGAGUUGGUUAGUGAAAUUGUUAGACGAUUAUAUUGAGGGUUGGAGUCAAACAUUCCAUCGAACCACUCUUUAUUGUCUUCAAUUAGCUUUCCAAUAAUUCCAUCUUCCUCACAAGACAAAAGAAUAAACUUCUCCGUGAGGUAUCUUAACCUAACAAAACUGAAACCACCCAAAAUAAAACUCUCUUUAACUGACUGCAAAUUGGAAACCUCAGUAAGUCUUCCGACAAAGCAUUUUUCUAACCAAGAAGAAGACUCAACCUUGACGCUAAACUAAGUAGCAUCCAAAUCCAAGUGAGAACUGCUCAUAUUCUUUCUCAUAACCACCUGCGCAAAUGAUUGUUGUUGUUGCUACUGCACCUUCAGUCUCGAGAUUGAUCAGCUCUCCUCUUAGAAUUCCACUCUUUCCUUGAAGCUUUGUUCCUUCAAUAUUUAGGUAAGCUCACCUAAAGAUUCCACGUACCAAUCCAAAUGGAGUUCAACUUCCUUUCCAUAGAUAAAGCAUUUGUCACUCCUUGAAAUCUAACAAAAUCAAACCGACGAUUUAUUGAAUUGAGCUUUCUUGAGAUGAACACGUCCGAGACUCUUCCACAUCUCUAAAAAUAUUUCCAAAGCUCCUUCCGAAGAAGUCGUUUGGGAAGCUUGUGAAGAAAAACGACGUGUCUGUAAUAGAAGCAGCUCACUCUUUGUAGCUCACCCUCUCUCUAGAUCACUAUCUCUCUACCUACUAGUCGUUCGUACCUCUACACCUAUUCAAGUUACAACUAAAUUAGAAGUAUCUGAAGAUCAAGACAUGUUAUGGUAGAAAUAUUUAAUUUUUGCUACCUCUUAUUCGACUAAGGCACAAAGGCCAGGAAACAAGGAUUGAGACCAACCUCACAGAAUCUGAGACCAAUAUGAUAUCUUGGGUCCUCAUUCAAAAUGCUAACCUAUUUGCAUGGACAUUCGAAUACAUGUUCUGGGUAGACCUGAGGUGAUCUUGCACAAGUUAUUUUCGUACAAGGAAGCUCGUCAAAGGUUGAAAAAGAAGAGAAAAUUAAAGGAUGAGAAGCGAAAAGGAUUCAAAAAGGAGGUUGAGAAGCUUAUCAAUGCUAGCUUUAUCUAAGAAGACAUGGUUAACAAACAUAGUUAUGGUAAAAAAACUAAUGAAAAAUGGAGAAUGUGCAUAGACUACAUAGACCUCAAGAGACCUCAAGGCAUAUCCUAAAGAUGUUUAUCCUUACCAAUUAGUUAAUGGCGCAUAAGAACAUAAGGUCCUCAACUUCCUAAACGCCUACUCAGGAUUAACCAAAUAUGCAUGCAUUCAAGAGAUAGGAAGAAGACAAUUUCUAUGACCAACAACACCAACUAUUUUUCUCCAAGUUUAAUUCAACUUUCUAUGAGCAAACAACAUCAAUUUCUCUGGAAGCUUAUGCACUAGAAAUGGAUGCUUUUGCAACUCCAACAUCUAAUGCAAUUUGUAACUCACAACUAUAAAAAUAAAGACUUAUUCCUAAACAUGUUUAUGAUAAUAGUCGCAAAGACAUUUACAACGCUAGUUAAUCAAUAUAUAUCAUUAAGCUUUAUUGGAUUAUGUUUGUUGUAAAUGUUGACUUCUUGAUAAGUGUCUAAUUUCAGUAAUAUUUUAUAUUAAAAUAUAGACACUUAUGAGGAUUUAUUUCUAAUUUACAUAUAAAAUAAUUCCUAAUUUAUGAAUUUAUAUCUUUUUACAUUUUUUAUGAUCUUUAUUUGAAUAAGAGCAUUUUAUUCCUAAAUUUGGUAUUAAUAACAGGUUUCUAGGGAGGAUUGAAAAUUUGGAGUAAAGGGGGAUGAUUUAAGUUAAAAAGAGAAAGCUGGAAGGUCCCAAAAUGGAGAAAAGUGUUGAAAAAGCCAAUUUUGCAAAAGGAGUAUCUCGCUCCAGGACUGUUUUCGGAAAUCAACGCUUUUCUCGCUCAAGCGAUAAUGCGUCACAUAGAUUGGGCCUUUUUUAUGUUUUAUCACUUAGCACAUCAGCGCGACACAAGAAGCAACUUAACCCUAGCAAAUUAGGUUAAAUAGGGGGAUAGAGGUUGAACCCUAGUGAAUAUUGAGAGAAAAACACCAUUGAGUGAAUUGUAACCAAUUGGGAGAAUGGAAGGUGCUAGAAGUAUGUGUGGCUAAUUCUACUCUUUGGGAUUGGGAGUAAUCUGCUCGAACUCUUAUGUGUUGAGGUGAUAUUUAAUAUGAUAUAAUAUUUUGUUCUUGAUUGAUUAUUGGUAUUUUUGUUUUACUUCUAAAUUCCCGUGACAAAUUGAGAAUCUUAAAUCUGACCGAGAGGUAUUUUUAGGAUUCUGACCUAAACAACAAUACUUAACAUAUUUGAGUUCUAUAGAUAGACUUAAAAUGUUAAUUGCCUUUAACGUCUAAGUAUGAUUUCUAAGUUGUUUUCAUAAGUAUGCGAGAGAUCGAUAUUUAGAAAUAUAUUCGAGAGAUCGAUUUAGAUUAAUUUUCUAUGGGCAACAAUUUCUAUCAAAGAACUUAAUAUUGACAUUCUAAUCAAAAUACAUGAGAGUGAGAGAGAUGAAACCUAAUCCCUAUUUUUCCAACUUGAAGCAACCAAUUCUUUAACUAUUUUCUCGUUGAUCACUGGCAACACAACCAAUUUCAACACUCUUUUUAUUGUUCUGUUUGAUAUUUAACGAUUAUUGUACUUGAUAAUUCACUGUUCUUUAUGGGAUCGAUAUCCGUCCUUAGGAACAAUUAUUACUUUUGACAAACGCGAUGCACUUGCCGUAUAAAGUCAUCACUUGUCCUUUUUGUUUCUCAUUAAACUAAGGACAUCCCCUAAUUUUAUUUUUUUUUAUUAUUAUUACUAUUUAUUUUUAUUAGUAUUAUUGUACCGGUACUGGGCGAGGUUGGGACCCACCUGGCUGCCCGAUGCCCAGUCAACCUGGCCGAGAGACUGAGAGGCCGAGACCUUUUGGAGACUCUGCCGAGAGACCGGGAGGCCGAGACCUUUGGAGACUUGGCCGGGAGACCAAGAGGCCAAGACCUUUGGAGGUUUGGCCGAGAGACCGAGACCUUCGAAGACUUAACUGAGACGGCCGAAGACCACAGGUAUGUGGCCGAUGGCCGACCCUCAUGAUGAGAAUUUGGCCGAUGGCCGAACCCCAUUACAAUUAAUGCUCAAACCGAGAUCAAUGAAGCUAAUCCAUCAUCAAGAAUUAGCUAAUGCAACCCUAAGCGAUAUCCACCUCAAUAAACGGGCCCAACAAGGUAGGCCCACUAGAAUAAUAUAAAUAGCACGCAUUCCAAGGAGUAAGGUAUGUCAUUUAUUACUGUUCACCUACCUGAGAGCUGACCACCUGCUUUACUGACUUGAGCGUCGGAGUGCCUUCGUAGGUACCCCACCAUCCGGUGUUCACCCGACGACCGAGUGCCGAGUGUCGAAGGAUAAGCAGGAGGACGAGAAGAAUCCCAGUUCAUCACCCAGUCACCUGCCCGACCGAAGGAAGGAGAAGAAGACUUCAACAGUUCUCUAGGUCCCAUCUCCCUAACAGGAACAAUUAUUAUUAUUCUUAUAUGACACCACAAAUUCUUACUCAAUACCUGCUGCUCAAAAUCUUGAAUUCAUUAUACGAGCACCAAGUGUUAUUUAUUCAAACUUUAUUAGUGUAGGUUUAAAGAGUUAUUUAGACAAUCUUGAAAUGACUUCUUUUCAAUGUGGCGAUAAAAGUGACUCAAAAAGGGAUCAUAACCUGACAAUCAACAUGGUGGAAGAAAACCUUCAAUUAAAAUGUAAAUUCUAGAAGAAUUACCAAUUUGUUAGGGAUGCAGUCUCAGUCAAACAAUAUUUAAUGGUAUGGUAUUUUAUGAAUGAAUAAUCUUUAAUAUUUUAUUAAUUUAUUUUAAUAAAGUCAAUAAUAUAUAUUACCAUAAACUUUAAUAUUUUAAUUAUAUUCAAGUGUUACUAAUAAAUAUUAUGAGUUCAAUGGAAGAAAAGUUCCUUCAAUUCAACUAAUUGGAGUGCAAUUAUGUAUACUUUUCUAUUCAUAAUUUUUUAGUUCUUGGAUUAAACUUGUAGAUACAUGACUAAUCUCUUAGUUUUUAUUUUGUUCAUAAAUAUUUGAAUCCUAUUCCACUUUAUUUAUACUUAUAACUAACAAUUUUAUCAACAAUAAAAAAAAUUAAAUUAAAUUUGAAUUCUCUAUUCCACUUUAUUUAUACUUUUAACUGACAAUUUUAUCAACAAUAAAAAAAAUUAAACUAAAUGAAUUAGUUGAAGGUGAUAUACAAAACUUUACUUUGUACCAAAAGCCUACUAAAAAAAAUGCAUAUGGCUCACAUAAGAAACAAAAAAGAACCUUAGGACAACCCAAUUGGAGCUUUGCCUGUAUGCUACAUAUUCAACAUACCACAGUGGUAAGAAACAGUAGAAAAAAAAAAAGAGUAUCAGGUCUUAGCCCUACAAAACUAGAAGGUCUUUUUCUCCCUAUAUCUUUUGGAAUAUUUUAAAUAUGCAUUAAUCAAUAACAAAAUCAUUUAGCAUUUGAGAUUAUGGAUCAUAAAUUCUAUUUGAUAGUUGUGCUAGAUGUCCUUAGCUAUAGGUCCAUACCAGCCCCUUUGACUCAGCCUAUUAGACAAACAUUUGCAAAUUCUAAACUUAAUUGCUGAAAAACAGCAUUUCAAUAAAUUAAUAUUUUAUUCAUUUUCAUUUUAUUUUUAUUUUUAUUUUUUAGUUUAAAAAUAUAUAUUAAUAUAAAUGUUUAUCAAAUAUAUUUUUUUACUAUGUUAAAGAAACUUUUUCCUUUGAAAUAUAAAAAUAGUAUUAAGUUGAUAUUAAUAUCUUACCAAUAUUUAAGAUACAAUGAGUUCAUUUUUUCAGAUAAAAGAAGCAUAAACUUUAUGCACAUUCAAUGCUAACAAAUUACACUCUUACUUCUGUCAAUGAGACCAUCACUUUAUUCAGCCAUCACACACUUCCAUUUCAUGUUUGUAUUUCAAAGUUAAACAUAUUAUCCUAAACCCUAAACUCCUAUAGUCACAAACUAAUGAGUUCACGAAGAAACUUCAAUUCUCUCUUCACACAAGCAUGUUCUUAAUCCCAUAUUUUAUAGGCCUUAUCACAACUUAAUUAGUGGCCUCGUAUUUGUUGAAACUGUAACAAAAACAAAAUCGUCAACUUUUUAUUUCCGUCAAACGUUAGAAAUUAUGCUUCAAGUACUGAUUCAAAUAAGCGAAUUUGUGAUUUUUCUUCAAUUUCUUGACUUCACGUGAUUAAUUAAAUAAACUAGUAGAAUCCAAAAUUCACUUUUCAACAAAAAAAAAUAUUUGCGUCUGUUUAAGAGAUGUCACUCUUUUACUUUUAAUAAAAAAAAAUUAAAAUUUCUUAGAGUCCACUAAGCUAAUGUACAUUUUUUAUUUAUAAAUAUAGAUUUUACAUAAGAUUUCAAAUUGUUUUACAAGCUUUAAUUUAUUAAAAUAUAUAAAUCAUUGGAAUCAAAUUAAACUUGACUAAAUCUAUAAUAAUAAUUUAGGUCGAUCUAAAUUUUGAAAACUAAAUUCAUGUUUACAAUCUUAAUAUUAUAAAACUAUAAAUCAUGAUGCCUUAAAAGCAUUCAUUUUGUAUUUAAUCAAUUGUUUUAACCAAUAUUAAUCAAAUAAACUAUCAACUAUUAAUGAAAUAUUUAGAAACAGAUAAAUAAUAGUUUUCUAAACAUAUUUAUAUAAAUCAAAUUAACAUAACAUAUGUUUAAAAUAUAAAUUGUUUGAAUGUACAUGACAAUGUUUGUAAUUAUUAUAUAUAUUUUGACAAAUAUGUUGAAAUGUGACAACUCAUAUAUUUAUUUUCUUUAAACUAAAAAUUAAUAACAAAUAUAUUAAAAAUUACAAUAUAAAAAAUUUAAGUUAAAUCCAUUUACUACAAGAUGAUAUUGUUGUGGAACUAAAGGAUAUAAAGACUUUGCAUAGAUACCUGCAUGGAAAGGAAACCACUAGUUUCUGGGCAAAUGAAAAUAAAUGUAGAUGGAAGCUCGGAUUAACUAAUUAUUGUGACAGGGGAAUAGGGAUCAAAAUUCUACGUAGGUCGUUGGAUUUUCUUCUUGUAAUACAUCGAAGCAAAAAUUUUGGUCAUUUUGCAUGCAAUUCAUGUAACUAUUUUAGAAUAUAACAUGUCCUUGUUUAGUAUAGUUCACUACAAAAUAAUAUAAACAAGUGAAACAUCAUUGAUAACCAAGAGUUUAAAAUAAGAAGAUGGAUGCAAAUAAGUACUCUUGUGUAUCGUGGAAUAGCAUAUACUUUACCAGUAAAUAGUUUUAACAUUGAAUAUAUCUAGUUAGAGUUGAUUGUUUGAUCAUCUAUCAUUGUUUCAUCUUCUGGAAAUAAAAUAGGUUUUGGAGGUAUUUCUAAGUCUUCAAUAUCCCCUUCAAGCAUUUUCACUACUCUAUUCAUUGAGGGUCGAUCAUUUGAUUUUAGUUGUAUACACCAUAGUGCAACUAUGAUCAUCUUCUUUGCUAUUUUAUUUUCCUCUUCUGUCACAUCUUUGAUGUCUACAUCUUCCCAUUUCCUAAUAUGAUCAUAAAUCCAAAGGGGAAAGUAAAGUUGACUUGAGUGGUCUACAUGGGGAUUUAGAUUCUUCCUCUUGCUCGCCAUCUCCAUCAAAAGCAUUCCAAAGCUAUAAACAUCAGCUUUAUGGGAUAUUCCUCCAAUAUUUUUGUAAAAUAGUUCUGGAGCCAUAUAUCCAAUGGUUCCUCUUGCUGCAGUCAUUGUGACGAUACUAUUAUCUAUUGGAUAUAACUUUGCCAAUCCAAAGUCAAAAACCUUAGGGAUGUAGUUUUCAUCUAGUAAGAUGUUAUGAGGUUUGAUGUCAAAAUGCAAAAUCUGCAUCUCACACCCAUGGUGGAGAUAAGCAAUCCCACGAGCCACUCCAAUUGAUAUAUUAUAUAUCUUUUCAUAACUUAAAUGUAUAUUUCUCUCUUUUGAGAAAAUAAAUUUAUCAAGAGAUCCAUUGGGCAUAAAUUCAUAAACAAGAGCACGCUUUGAGCCACUAACACAAAAUCCAAUUAACCGUACCACAUUUUGAUGAUGUAUUCUUCCAAUGGUCGCAACUUCACUGAUAAAAUCUUGUCCAUUUGUUUUGGAUUUGCCUAACAUUUUGAUAGCCACAAAAGGCCCACUGCACAACUUUGCCUUAAAGACAGAGCCAAAUCCUCCUUCACCUAACUUCUCUUUGAAACCUG
RNAcentral lists this long non-coding RNA (15115 nucleotides) under Phaseolus vulgaris (common bean). Its description in RNAcentral is "long non-coding RNA (PVUL_LNC004841)". The record is from RNAcentral. Lineage: Eukaryota; Viridiplantae; Streptophyta; Magnoliopsida; Fabales; Fabaceae.